AAUAUUGGACAAUGGGCGUAAGCCUGAUCCAGCAAUGCCGCGUGAGUGAAGUAUACCCAAGGGUUGUAAAGCUCUUCCACCCGCGAAGAUGAUGACGGUAGCGGGAGAAGAAGCCUCGGUUAACUCCGUGUCAGUAGCCGCGGUAAUACGGAGGGGGCUAGCGUUGUUCGGUUUUACUGUGCGUAAAGGGCGCGUAGGCGGAUGUUCCCGUCAGAGGUGAAAGCCCCGGGGUCAACCUUGGAACUGCCUUUGAAACGGGACAUCUUGAGUUCGGGAGAGGGUAGCGGAAUUCCCAGUGUAGAGGUGAAAUUCGUAGAUAUUGGGAAGAACACCGGUGGCGAAGGCGGCUACCUGGCCCGAUACUGACGCUGAGGCGCGAAAGCGUGGGGAGCAAAC
This 396-nucleotide ribosomal RNA is filed under the name uncultured bacterium. RNAcentral describes it as "partial 16S ribosomal RNA". It matches the Rfam family "Bacterial small subunit ribosomal RNA", at positions 360 to 773 of the family's 1533-position model. The record is from RNAcentral.